GAGAAAGGGGGCUGAACUCGAGGGGUUUCAGAGGGCUAAGAACAAAGGGUCACAUGGAAGGAAUAUAACACAUGUCUGGGGAAUGAAGUAUUUGGAAGGAUUUGGAAUAGAGAGUAUAAAACAAUAUAUUUUAUAUUAUGCCCCUUGACACAUGCUUUAGUCUAACAAUGGAGAGAGAGAAGAGAUAUCUGAAAAGGAAAUGUCAAACCUCAGCUAAAUGGAUUACGAAAUACAAAUGGCUCCAUACUGAAAUGUAUGUCAACGGAAAUGUCAGAUUCCAUGAAGAGACGGAGUCAGCAGUGGCACCAUAGCAUCUCUUUCAUUCUCCCCACAUCAGCCUGAGGGACUGGGGCCCUCAGUAGUCAACACACACACUACCUCUGUGUUUCUCUCUGAUGCACUACCAUCCCAACAGCUCUGACGCCAUCAAGCUAACGGUUUCAAUGCAGAGGGAACUGAACUGUGUGUGUGUGUGUGUGUGUGUGUGUGUGUGUGUGUGUGUGUGUGUGUGUGUGUGUGUGUGUGUGUGUGUGUGUGUGUGUGUGUGUGUGUGUGUGCGCGCGUGCGUGCGUGCGUGCGUGCGUACUUGUGUUCGUGUGGCAUGAGUAAAUUCGAUCUCUCUUGUUUUCACACGGCAGCACCAUGUGCAGUUUCACUCUCACAGAGUUGUUAUUAUAACUUGCUAAUGAGCUGUUUGAUUGGCGUUACCACUCUGCUCACAUUGUAAUUCCCCAGAGGCUGUAGGGAUGAAACAUGGGCUGAUGUGGUUUGUUUCUACUAUUUAGAAACUGAGACAUUCUGUGAUUGUUCCUCCUCACAGUUACCAGAGCCUAAGGCAGCAAGAGAGAGCAAAAUAAGAAGAGAGGUAGAGAGAGAGAGACAGAGAGAAAGAGACAUAGAGACAGAGAGAGACUAAACCUUCCAUAAAAAGCCAUCACCUACAGAUAAAUUAACCCAGAGAAGAGCCCCCCUAAGCAAGCAGGUCCUGGGGCUUUCUUCACAAACAUAAACAGACCCCAUAGAGCCCCAGGGCAGCAACACAAUUAGACCCAACCAAAUCAUGAGCAAACACAAAGAUAAUUACUUGACACAUUGGAAAGGUUUUACAAAAAAACAGAGCAAACUAGAAUGCUAUUUGGCCCUAAACAGUGAGUACACAGUGGCAGAAUACCUGACCACUGUGAAUAACCCAAAAUUAAGGAAAUCUUUGACUAUGUACAGACUCAGUGAGCAUAGCCUUGCUAUUGAGAAACUCUGCCGAAGGCAGACCUGGCUCUCAAGCGGAGACAGGCUAUGUGCACACCACCCACAAAAUGAGGUGGAAACUGAGCUGCACUUCCUAACCUCCCGCCAAAUGUAUGACCAUACAUUCAAAAAAUGUGUGGUUCAACAAGAGUUUUUCUAAGAUCCUCAAAGUUCUUCAAAUAACCAUAGGGUUCUUGGCACUGAAAAUGCCCCCCAAUAGGUUCUUCCAAGAACCCCAUAGAAGGUGGGGUUCAUCAAGGAACCUCCUUAGUUGGUUGGGGUUCUUGCAGGAACCUAACAUUUUUGAUUUGAAAGGACAGCAGGAGUAGGCACUUAACGGAAAAAUGUAAAGAUCUCCUCAAUUUGAGGUAAGGUUUGACCCUUGUAUGAUCUAAAUUGAUAUUGUUUUAUGGUGAUACUAUUUUCAUAUUUGUGCCAAUCUUUCUAAAACAGAAAAUGGACACAUUUCAAUGGAUAUCAAUCAACAAAGAGGUAUACAGACGAGGAGGCAUUCAAAGGAAACCUGUUUGAUCACCAUGCACUGCAGAAUCAUUCUGGCUAUGGAUAUGGAGAACAUCAACACAUGAACAUGAACACGCCAGAGGAUAAACCCAUUGGACUUGGGACUCUGCUGGGAGUUUACCUCAUAUUUAGAUUUUUUAAAUUCUGCUUUGCCAAUAAAAUCAUAAUAAA
Molecule: long non-coding RNA, 1938 nt
Organism: Oncorhynchus nerka (sockeye salmon)
Lineage: Eukaryota; Metazoa; Chordata; Actinopteri; Salmoniformes; Salmonidae
Exons: 4
Source: RefSeq, a predicted model, not a curated record